This 382-nucleotide long non-coding RNA is filed under the name Vigna radiata. RNAcentral's name for it is "long non-coding RNA (VRAD_LNC008231)". Lineage: Eukaryota; Viridiplantae; Streptophyta; Magnoliopsida; Fabales; Fabaceae. The record is from RNAcentral.
AGGGACCUUGAAAAAUUAUAAAAGAACUUAAUGGCAAAGAAAAUGGAACAGACAAGUAUAUUAAAAAAAAUAAUAGAAAAAGAUCAAGUACUUAGUCACCAAUAAUUAUAAUAACAUCUAUAGUAAAAGACUAAAUGGAUAGAGUGGGUCAUCUACUUGGACUACACCAAAAGCUUAUCAACGAGGAACUUGCAACAGUCAUAGAGAAAGUAAAUUAACACUGUGUUUUAUAAUACCUGUAAUAAUAAUAACAAAAAUAACCAACAUGUCAUCCAUUUGAUUUCGUUUGUAUGUUUCUGUCUGCAUUUCAGUUUUACAUUUCUGGUUGCAUCUGUCUUUUGAUUUAGUUCAUCCGCAUUCACAAACCUUUCACAACCCCCCC